RNAcentral lists this ribosomal RNA (301 nucleotides) under uncultured bacterium. Its description in RNAcentral is "partial 16S ribosomal RNA". It matches the Rfam family "Bacterial small subunit ribosomal RNA", at positions 509 to 807 of the family's 1533-position model. The record is from RNAcentral.
CAGCAGCCACGGUAAUACAGAGGGUGCGAGCGUUAAUCGGAUUUACUGGGCGUAAAGCGUGCGUAGGCGGCUUCUUAAGUCGGAUGUGAAAUCCCUGAGCUUAACUUAGGAAUUGCAUUCGAUACUGGGAAGCUAGAGUAUUGGAGAGGAUGGUAGAAUUCCAGGUGUAGCGGUGAAAUGCGUAGAGAUCUGGAGGAAUACCGAUGGCGAAGGCAGCCAUCUGGCCUAAUACUGACGCUGAGGUACGAAAGCAUGGGGAGCAAACAGGAUUAGAUACCCCCGUAGUCCCUGUCUCUUAUAC